Molecule: long non-coding RNA, 2145 nt
Organism: Triticum dicoccoides
Lineage: Eukaryota; Viridiplantae; Streptophyta; Magnoliopsida; Poales; Poaceae
Exons: 7
Source: RefSeq, a predicted model, not a curated record
UGUCAGAUGAGUUAUUCCCAAAGCAGGAAGCCUUUAAAUUGGGGGUAAAUUAGUGUGUUUACGGAAAAUUUCUUUCGAAUAAUUGGUCCCACUUCAAUCCGGUGCAACUUUGUUUUGGGUCAGAUUCAGUUCAAUAGAAUUCCAGUCAAGGUAGGAGUUCAGUUAGCCUUUAAAGGGAGUUGACAACAAUCCUGGACUGGACAUACGCAAGGCAUGGAAUACAAUAGCCGGGUCCUGGAGCGUAUGCUUGAUGAUCCAGGACAGGCCGCAACUGAUCUGCCGUUAGAUCUUUUACGAAGCAUCACGCAAAAUUUCUCUCUCGAGAGAAAAAAUCGGUGCUGGUGGAUUUGGUGAAGUUUAUGAGGGUGUCCUCCCAAAUGGAUGCAUUGUUGCUGUAAAGAGGAUACCCAUGACUAUCCAUACAGUCGACGACAAACUAUUCAAUCGACAGGUUGGCGUGCUGUUGAAAACUCCUAUUGUGCAUCAAAAUGUAGUCCGGUUUCUUGGCUUCUGUUCCAAUACACAAGAUGGAGUGAUAAGAGAAUCGGAAGAAAUUCAUGUCGUCAAGAAAAAAGAAAGAUUACUAUGUUUCGAGUAUAUAAGCAAUGGAAGCCUUGAUAAACUUAUCACUGAUGAACUUAGGGGACUUGAAUGGAAUGCGCGUUACGACUUAUGGGUAUUUGCAAGGGUUUGCAAUAUCUUCAUGAAAAAUUGCAUAUUAUUCACAUGGAUCUUAAACCUUCCAACAUAAUGUUAGAUAGUUACAUGGUCCCCAAAAUCACAGAUUUUGAUCUAUCAAGAUGGGAUAAGAACACACACACGGCGGGUGACCUUUUCACGUCAGGAUGGUAUAGCACUCCAGAAUACAAGAAUGACAGGGUAAUGUCAACAAAAUGUGACAUGUUUAGCUUGGGUGUGCUAAUCAUAGAACUGAUAACUGGACACAAGGGCGUCCCUCAUAUAAAUAGUGUACUUCGGAGGUGGAGGCAUAGGUGGGCUAAAUUAGUGAGCCAUACGCCACUAAAGGACCAACAAGUAACUAAAUGCAUCGAAAUAGCGAAAAUAUGCUUGGAGAAAGAACCAAUGAACAGACCGUCCAUAUGUCAUAUGAUCCACCUACUCGAGAAUGUUGGAAAUACGAAUGGGCACAUGUUUGGCCAGAAUCUCAAACGGAUACAUUAAUUCUGGACAAGACAUCUCAUCCUAUCAAUUAUAGAAUUGGCGCAAUCAGGGUUCGACAUGGAUGAAUCUAUACAAUAUCCAGGUUGGAAGACAGAUCGGACCUGCAGCGAGAAGGCAACAUGGGUUGUGAAGGAGCUCCUUAUACAGGAGCUACCGCCCCCGCCGGCGGCUCAGGCCCACAUCUCGACGACUCUCCUCAGCUCCAUUGGGCAAGUCGCCACCACAGCUGGCGUUGUGGCCUCGCGCCCGCCAUGGUCGUCACCUCUCCAUAGCUCAUCAAUCUCACCCGCAAAAAAGCUCAUCAAUCUAUAUUAUGUACUGAGAGCACUCUGCAUUCAAUUGGGACUUGGGAGUAGAAAACCAGCAUCAAUACAAUAUGAAUUCCCAAUUUGUUGGAGAAUGAUCUGGUAGAAGGGAAAGCAGAGAAGACAAAACAACAAAAGAGGUGGGGAUGGAACAGCCGGACGGAGGAGACUAUAUGGACGCGAAAUCGACAUGGUAACUGAUCUAUAAUUAUCCGCCGUAGGGUGAGUGGCGCAGAUCGCGCGUCAUUAAAGUCCUGUAACGGUUGUACUUUAAUCUAUAGCGACAAUCGCUUCUCUCAUUACAUCACCGUGGCAUCGCCCCGAGAACCCUCUCGCCAGAAGUCACACGAACGAGGCGCAAAUCCAGACCGAUGAAGCGCAAACCCACCCCUUUUUCUGCUCGCGUGAUUGUGUUUUUUUUCACAAUAAAUUGGCCGAGAUAAAUUGGAUGAUAUAGGCCCAACUGGCCCAAAUUGCAGUAGGUUGCCGAUUUUGUUGCGGGAGCAUCGUCCCAGGGCGUCUAGCACCCCCCAGUGGGGCCGAACAUGCAUCCAACGACCAAAAAGUCCAAAACUUCUAGAUCUGACGGUCGAAAACGGUGAUGGUGUGAGAGGGCUGGAAGAGUGCUCGGUUAUAAUAUAUCUAAAUGCACGGGAUA